Molecule: long non-coding RNA, 2937 nt
Organism: Mizuhopecten yessoensis (Yesso scallop)
Lineage: Eukaryota; Metazoa; Mollusca; Bivalvia; Pectinida; Pectinidae
Exons: 3
Source: RefSeq, a predicted model, not a curated record
UAGAUAUCAGUUUUACAUCUGUAUGUAUGACAGGCAGAUAUCAGUUUUACUUCUGUAUUUAUACCUGUGAUGUUUAUGUAUAGGUAUGACAGGGAGAUAUCAGUUUUACUUCUGUAGGAAUGACGGGUAGAUAUCAGUUUUACAUCUGUAUGUAUGACAGGUAGAUAUCAGUUUUACUUCUGUAUAUUUAUACCUGUGGUGUUUAUGUAUUGGUAUGACAGGUAGAUACCAGUUUUACUUCUGUAUAUAUACCUGUGGUGUUUCUGUAUACGUAUGACAGGUAGAUAUCAGUUUUACUUACGCAUAUACCUGUAGUAUUUAUAUAUAGGUAUGACAGGAAGAUAUCAGUUUUACUUCUGUAUAUAUACCUGUGAUGUUUAUGUAUAGGUAUGACAGGUAGAUAUCAGUUUUACAUCUGUAUAUAUACCUGCAGUAUUUAUCGGUAUAACAGGUAGAUAUCAGUUUUACUUACGCACAUACCUGUAGUAUUUAUAUAUAGAUAUGACAGGUAGAUGUCAGUUUUACCUUCGAAUAUACCUGUAGUAUUUAUAUAUCAGUAUGACAGGUAGAUAUCAGUUUUACCUCAGUAUAUAUAAAUAUAUAAGUAUUUAUAGUUGUGUGAGGUGAUAUUGGAUUUGUUUCUGUAUAUAUUUCAUGUUUAACUCAACAGUUUAUGGUCAUAACUUUUAAGUGUUGUGUUUUAUAUACAUAAAUAUAUACGACAUAGUACAUGUAUCUAUACCAUUAAAGUUUUGUGAAUUAUGUGCAUGUACAUGUUUUAAAUAACAUAUGCAAGUCUGUAACGUUAUUCUGCUGAUUAAUAUUAAACAGCAUCAUAAAUCAGCUUUGGCAACAUAAAUAACUACUGAUGUAAUUUAAUGACAGACUGUGUUGAAGUGAAUUUGGUUUUGAAAAUUUGCAAAAUGUCCCAUUACUACAUCAAAAUGUCAAUUGUUGUGUCAGAUACACACUUCUAGUCCUAUCUGUUAUAUGUAAUAGUAGUACUCAACUGACAGAAGAUCCUGGCAUAAUAUUUACACAUAUCAUCAGGACAUUUUACAAUAUACAUAUGAAGUGUAAAAAUUGAGUCAAAUACAUGUAACCAGAUGAAGUAAAAAUAUAUGUUUCUGAAGUUGAAAUCGUGUAAAAAUAUGAAGGGAGACAAACUUGGAAGCUUGUUAGUUCUGAAAUAGGGAUUUCAAAUGUGUAUCUAAUCCUCCAUUUCUAACCAGCAUCCCAAGACUGAUGAUCACAGCUCUUACAGAAUAACAUGUCUAGCAUGUUCUGAUGAAUAUUGUGAUUCCUUUAACUCCUUAACUUGAAAAUUACCUUUACUUAAAAUACAGAUACACAAGACUCAAUUUAACAGUGCAUUGAAAAGCAAACUCUAGGACAGCCUUAGAUGUGGAAUAGCAUUUGUGAACAUGAUUAUUCACUAGUAUUUGUAAAAUGAGGUGUUUACAAUCAUAAUGAUUCUUAAAAGACACAAUAUUUUGUUAUAGUUUUCCCUGCUGAAUUCUUUUUGAACUUUUGAAUUCUGAUUGAUUCUCUCCCACAUAAUGUUAACAUAUAGAUGUACAGUACUAUUAAUUGUUAUGCUGUUUGAUACGUCAAGUAAAAUAACAUUUUAUCUAAUAUAACGUAAUUGAAAAUAAUUAUUGUUAAAAUAAAACAUUAUUGUUAUUACACAUUCUGAGGGACAAAUGCAAUGAGAUGUAUUUGUGGUCGAUAUUUUGUUACUGUUCUUGACAUAUUUAUGCAUCACUGUUGUACUAUGGAUGUUGAUGGUUAUAAAUUCUGUGGAAUAAUACAAUGUAAUUUUAGAAACAUUUAAUUAGACAGCCACCAUAUUCUGAUUUGUUUCCAUAGAUAGACCCACCAGUGGUACCAUAAAGCACACUGAAAAGUUGUAUCGCUUCAAAAGAGUAAUAAAAUUUAGUAAGUUAUGUUAUUUUAAAAGUCUGGCCAUGAAACAGUCUCAGACUGAGGUUCACAUUUUAGUUGGUAAUAAAUCAAUAUUUCUGUUGGGAAUUUGUCAAAAUUAUAUAGGAAAUAAGAAAUAUUUACAAUAAGUAUAGAGUAUGUACUGUUCUUUUGAACAGUAUGUACAUGUAGAUCUAUAUAAAACUACAUUGCUAAAUUAGCACUAAAUAUUUCAAGACCAAAUUGUUUCAUGAUCCUACAAACUUCACUAAUUUGUUUCAACCAAAAGAAUAAGCAGGUAUUUGGAACAGGUGAUGCUAAAAUGUACAUUCUGACAAAUAUGACAAGAAUAAUAACCUACUAGUACCAAUACAGGAACAUGAUUCUGUUGGUUACACUAUAUACAAAUCCAUCUUUCACAUGUCAUAUGACUGUUGGUUACAUGGUUACCAAUAACCUCCAUCAGAGCUUAAUGUCUCCAGUUUCUUGGUUUCCUUACAAAACUAUGGUUUUGAGUAACGGGUGUUUUUUUGCCUAAAGGCCAAGUGUCAAGUUGAUCGUACUUAAAAUUUAAUGCUUGAGUGUGGUCAUAGCUAAAACAAAUGAUUUUUAUGAAAAAUGGGUAAUUCCUUGUCGUUGGGGUAGAUAUAGAAAAAUGUAGGAUGCACUUAAUAUAAUUCCACUUUCUCUGGUGUUAUUUGGCGUUCAUGCUCCUUUAGCAAAAAAAAGGUUCACAAACUCGUUAUGAAGGGCUCAAAAUUUUUGUGUUGCAAAAUUGUAAUAGGGACCAAGUGUUACAAUAUUGACCAAUGCCACCUAUGUAUGCAGAGUAGUCUACCAGGGUAGUGACAUAUAACGCUUGGCAAGUGUAUGUUUGGGAUGUAUCAUAACAACAUCAUAAACUGUUGUUCAUAGUUUGGAUGCAGCAAACUACUGAAACAGUAUAUAGUUGGUAUGUAGUGAACUACUGAACCAGUAUAUAGUUGGGAUGUAAGAACUACUGAGCCAGGAUAU